GACGUAGGGUGCGAGCGUUGUCCGGAUUUAUUGGGCGUAAAGAGCGUGUAGGCGGCCAGGUAGGUCUGGUGUGAAAACUCGAGGCUUAACCUCGAGAUGUCAUCGGAAACCAUCUGGCUAGAGUCCGGAAGAGGAGAGUGGAAUUCCUGGUGUAGCGGUGAAAUGCGCAGAUAUCAGGAAGAACACCAAUGGCGAAAGCAGCUCUCUGGGACGGUACUGACGCUGAGACGCGAAAGCGUGGGGAGCGAACAGG
RNAcentral lists this ribosomal RNA (253 nucleotides) under uncultured bacterium. RNAcentral's name for it is "partial 16S ribosomal RNA". It matches the Rfam family "Bacterial small subunit ribosomal RNA", at positions 524 to 776 of the family's 1533-position model. The record is from RNAcentral.